AGGAUUUUGAGUUUAUGAGUUUAGAUUCUACAAAAAGCAAAUUACUGGUUCUUGAUAGGUGGAUUUUUUUUUUAACACAAAUACAAAAUCUGGCCGGCCAAAGCUACACGGUAGGCUAGCUCAAGCCGUGCUUGCUGGAAGGUAGUGAUGGAGGCCCGAGUUAGGAGGAGAGUGUUUCUCUUAUUGGUUUCAUGUAUAUGGGUGCCUAUGGCGGUUCUUGGUGGGAUUGAGAAUGUCACUGUCUCUUCCUUGUCUUGGCCAAAAGUGGUGAAGUUUGGAGCUUUAUUCACAGUAAAUUCAGUCAUCGGAAGUUCUGUAAUGCCCGCCAUUUUAGCUGCAGUCGAUGAUGUUAAUGCUGAUUCUACAGUACUUAGUGGGACCAAAUUGCACGUCGUAACACAGGAUACAAAUUGCAGUGGAUUCAUAGGCACUAUUGAUGCUUUGCAGCUGAUGGAAAAAGAAGUCGUUGUUGCGGUGGGUCCGCAAUCCUCUGGAAUAGCACAUGUCAUUUCUCAUGUAGUGAAUGAACUUCGUGUCCCACUUUUGUCUUUUGCAACUGAUCCUACUCUUUCCUCUCUUCAGUACCAAUAUUUUCUUAGAACUGUCACAAGUGAUUACUUCCAGAUGUAUGCUAUUGCUGAUCUGGUUGAUUAUUAUGGAUGGAAGGAGGUUAUAGCCAUAUUUGUUGAUGAUGACAAUGGUAGAAAUGGGAUAUCGGUGUUGGGUGAUGCCCUUGCAAAGAAGCGGGCCAAGAUCUCUUAUAAAGCAGCCUUUUCUCCUGGAGCAACUAUGAGUGAUCGAUGACUUGUUAGUUAGUGUGAACCUUAUGGAGG
Molecule: unclassified non-coding RNA, 833 nt
Filed under: Hevea brasiliensis (rubber tree)
Lineage: Eukaryota; Viridiplantae; Streptophyta; Magnoliopsida; Malpighiales; Euphorbiaceae
Source: RNAcentral